This 744-nucleotide long non-coding RNA is filed under the name Homo sapiens (human). Its description in RNAcentral is "non-protein coding lnc-LRRTM3-14:2". The record is from RNAcentral. Lineage: Eukaryota; Metazoa; Chordata; Mammalia; Primates; Hominidae.
CAAAAAAGUCCAGGAUCAGAUGGCUUCACUGAUUAUACUAAAUUAUACCAAACUUUCAAAGAGGAACUAACACCAAUUUUCCUUAAAGUAUUCCAAAAAUUUGAGGUAAUUCUCUCCUGUGUCCCUCCCACAACAUGUGGGAAUUCUGGGAGAUACAAUUCAAGUUGAGAUUUGGUGGGGAAACAGCCAAACCAUAUCAUUCCACCUUUGGCCCCUCCAAAUCUCAUGUCCUCAUAUUUCAGGGCAGAUCCCAACAGGGAUGCCUUGUGUCCGUGAUUGUAUUUUCCAAAAAUAACUGCAAGGGUACUUCCCAUCCUUCAUGUUCUUCUGCAAUAUGUCCUUGCUAUGCCCCAUCAAAAAGUGAGGCUGGCAUUAGGAACUCAAAGGUGGAAGGGAAGCUGUGUAUCUUUCAAAGCUUGGUCAGUAUAGUCCAUACCAUUUGCAUCCAUUGGUUGAGGAUCACUUGUUCUCUGAGUAUUCCCUCUUGGGAGGCUCCAUCUCAAAAUCCUUUUGCUAUUCCAUGAGAUGCCCAAGCCAGAGGCCUCAUGUCCCAGCUCUACUUGGCAGUCACAGUUCACCUCCUACCUUUUAUUCUUCUGACUCACACUCUUAUUAGAGAGACAGUUAUUAGAGAAAAGCUCUUUGGGCAUAGUGCUGUUUCUUAUCAUUGAGGAGGUUUUGUAAUCCUCCUAAGGAUUUUUAAUCCUCCUAAGGAGGAGAUUUUGUAAAGAAGAAAUGCUCUUU